AUGCGCAGAAGCCGGCGGGCCCGAAGGCGCCCCCAGCGGCUAACAAGCCUCAGUGAAACUGGAAAGUUCGGCUUCCCUCGGCCACACUCGGUCUCCAGCCCCGCCUCUCGGCCCGCCUUUUCCUCCCAGCGCCGCGUUGAUGGGCGCGCAGCGGGCUCUGAAAGCCCGACUGUGGGCUGGGCGCUGUGGCGCACGCCUGUAAUCCCAGCACUUUGGGAGGCCAAGGUGAUGCUGGACGUGACAGAGAAGGUGACAGGUCACCCUGAGUGCGGGACUCCGUGCAUACCCAGGGCAAUCGGCCCUGAUGCCCAGGGGCUAGGCUUGCAAGACUGCGCAUUACGUUCGCAGAGCCGGAGUGCAAAGCCAGACCUGGUACCACCAACAGCAUCUCUGCCUUCGUCCUCAUCUGGUUCCCGCCUCAAACCUGUACCCGUGCUGGGGAGCCUGGAAGAUUAUUGAUCUGACCGGAACAGUCCAGGUUCCAUGAUGCAAGCAGUGGUGUCUGUCAUCUGACUUUGAGAGACAUCUGGCUCUGUUUCAAAAGAACUAAAACUAUAGUUCCAGCUACUUCGGAGGCCAAGGUGGGAAGAUGGCUUGAAUCCAGGAGCUUGAGGCUGCAGUGAGGU
This 626-nucleotide long non-coding RNA is filed under the name Macaca mulatta (Rhesus monkey). RNAcentral describes it as "lncRNA (ENSMMUG00000052263.1)". Lineage: Eukaryota; Metazoa; Chordata; Mammalia; Primates; Cercopithecidae. The record is from RNAcentral.